UGAGGAAUAUUGGACAAUGGGCGCAAGCCUGAUCCAGCCAUGCCGCGUGAGUGAAGAAGGCCUUCGGGUUGUAAAGCUCUUUCGAUAGUGAAGAUAAUGACGGUAGCUAUAGAAGAAGCCCCGGCUAAAUUCGUGCCAGCAGCCGCGGUAAUACGAAUGGGGCAAGCGUUGUUCGGAAUCACUGGGCUUAAAGCGUGCGUAGGCGGACAUGAAAGUCAGGAGUGAAAUCCCGGGGCUCAACCCCGGAAUUGCUUUUGAAACUCCAUGUCUGGAAUCCGGGAGGGGUUAGUGGAAUUCCGAGUGUAGAGGUGAAAUUCGCAGAUAUUCGGAGGAACACCAGUGGCGAAGGCGACUGACUGGACCGGCAUUGACGCUGAGGCACGAAAGCGUGGGGAGCAAACAGG
This 404-nucleotide ribosomal RNA is filed under the name uncultured Alphaproteobacteria bacterium. Its description in RNAcentral is "bacterial SSU rRNA". It matches the Rfam family "Bacterial small subunit ribosomal RNA", at positions 355 to 776 of the family's 1533-position model. Lineage: Bacteria; Pseudomonadati; Pseudomonadota; Alphaproteobacteria. The record is from RNAcentral.